This 497-nucleotide ribosomal RNA is filed under the name uncultured bacterium. Its description in RNAcentral is "partial 16S ribosomal RNA". It matches the Rfam family "Bacterial small subunit ribosomal RNA", at positions 28 to 507 of the family's 1533-position model. The record is from RNAcentral.
GAUGAACGCUGGCGGCGUGCCUAAUACAUGCAAGUCGAACGAACGGACGAUAAUUUUGCUUCUCUGAUGUUAGCGGCGGACGUGUGUGUAACGCGUGUAUAACCUACCUAUAUGACUGGUAUAACUUCGGGAAACGGGAGCUAAUCCGAGAUGAGAUUUUGAACCGCAGUGUUCAAAGGUGAAAUACGGUCUUGCUGUCACUUAUAGAUGGAUCCGCGCUGCUUUAGCUAGUUGUUAAGGUAACGGCUUACCAAGGCAACGAUGCAUAGACGACGUGAGAGGGUGAUCGCCCACACUGGAACUGAGACACGGUCCAGACUCCUACGGGAGGCAGCAGUAGGGAAUCUGCCGCAAUGGGCGAAAGCAUGACGGAGCAACGCCGCGUGAGUGACGACGGUCUUCGGAUCGUAAAACUCUGUUAUUAGGGAAGAACAUAUGUGUAAGUAACUGUGCACAGCUUGACGGUACCUAAUCAGAAAGCAACGGCUAACUACGUG